GACGAACGCUGGCGGCGUGCUUAACACAUGCAAGUCGAACGGAAAGGCCCUGCUUUUGUGGGGUGCUCGAGUGGCGAACGGGUGAGUAACACGUGAGUAACCUGCCCUUGACUUUGGGAUAACUUCAGGAAACUGGGGCUAAUACCGGAUAGGAGCUCCUGCUGCAUGGUGGGGGUUGGAAAGUUUCGGCGGUUGGGGAUGGACUCGCGGCUUAUCAGCUUGUUGGUGGGGUAGUGGCUUACCAAGGCUUUGACGGGUAGCCGGCCUGAGAGGGUGACCGGCCACAUUGGGACUGAGAUACGGCGCAGACUCCUACGGGAGGCAGCAGUGGGGAAUAUUGCAGAAUGAGCGGGAGCCUGAUGCAGCAACGCCGCGUGCGGGAUGACGGCCUUCGGGUUGUAAACCGCUUUCGCCUGUGACGAAGCGUGAGUGACGGUAAUGGGUAAAGAAGCACCGGCUAACUACGUG
Molecule: ribosomal RNA, 468 nt
Filed under: uncultured bacterium
Lineage: Bacteria
Description: partial 16S ribosomal RNA
Rfam family: Bacterial small subunit ribosomal RNA
Source: RNAcentral